CUAAUACCGGAUAGUUCCUUGAACCGCAUGGUUCAAGGAUGAAAGACGGUUUCGGCUGUCACUUACAGAUGGACCCGCGGCGCAUUAGCUAGUUGGUGAGGUAACGGCUCACCAAGGCGACGAUGCGUAGCCGACCUGAGAGGGUGAUCGGCCACACUGGGACUGAGACACGGCCCAGACUCCUACGGGAGGCAGCAGUAGGGAAUCUUCCGCAAUGGACGAAAGUCUGACGGAGCAACGCCGCGUGAGUGAUGAAGGUUUUCGGAUCGUAAAGCUCUGUUGUUAGGGAAGAACAAGUGCAAGAGUAACUGCUUGCACCUUGACGGUACCUAACCAGAAAGCCACGGCUAACUACGUGCCAGCAGCCGCGGUAAUACGUAGGUGGCAAAGCGUUGUCCGGAAUUAUUGGGCGUAAAGGGCUCGCAGGCGGUUUCUUAAGUCUGAUGUGAAAGCCCCCGGCUCAACCGGGGAGGGGUCAUUGGAAACUGGGAAACUUGAGUGCAGAAGAGGAGAGUGGAAUUCCACGUGUAGCGGUGAAAUGCGUAGAGAUGUGGAGGA
Molecule: ribosomal RNA, 558 nt
Filed under: Bacillus altitudinis
Lineage: Bacteria; Bacillati; Bacillota; Bacilli; Caryophanales; Bacillaceae
Description: bacterial SSU rRNA
Rfam family: Bacterial small subunit ribosomal RNA
Source: RNAcentral